Non-coding RNA from Camelina sativa (false flax), 423 nucleotides. NCBI's taxonomy places the organism in Eukaryota, Viridiplantae, Streptophyta, Magnoliopsida, Brassicales, Brassicaceae. The record is from RefSeq and is a predicted model, not a curated record.
CCCAUCACUCUUACUGCCUCUAAUACACGAAAGAGACACCUAUCUAGCUUGGUCGUUGAAGAGGAGUAAAGCAGUGAACGGGUGUAAAACAGUGGUGGGAGUGAUCGGAAAAGGACACAUGAACGGUGUGAUCUAUGCAUUGGUGUCAGACUCCGGAGAUCUUCGGUUUAGAGACUUGGUGGGAAGAGGAGAUUCAUAUAAAGGUGGUACAACAUCAUCGGAAGGCUGGAUUCAAAAGGUUUUAAAAAGUCUCGCAAGAGACACCAUUAUAGGGUUAUUGUUAUGGGAGUUAUAUGAACUGUAUCUCAAGUUUGUGAUGAUGAACCAAAUCCCUCCAUGAUCUUGUUACAUAAACAACUUGUCAUUGCAAAUCCAAAAAUGAUAGUGUAAAAUGGGUAUAUAUAAUAUGAUUUUUUCCUUCUA